CCUACGGGGUGCAGCAGUGAGGAAUAUUGGUCAAUGGACGAGAGUCUGAACCAGCCAAGUAGCGUGAAGGAUGACUGCCCUAUGGGUUGUAAACUUCUUUUGUAUGGGAAUAAAAUGUUCCACGUGUGGGAUUUUGUAUGUACCAUAUGAAUAAGGAUCGGCUAACUCCGUGCCAGCAGCCGCGGUAAUACGGAGGAUCCGAGCGUUAUCCGGAUUUAUUGGGUUUAAAGGGAGCGUAGGUGGAUUGUUAAGUCAGUUGUGAAAGUUUGCGGCUCAACCGUAAAAUUGCAGUUGAAACUGGCAGUCUUGAGUACAGUAGAGGUGGGCGGAAUUCGUGGUGUAGCGGUGAAAUGCUUAGAUAUCACGAAGAACUCCGAUUGCGAAGGCAGUUCACUGGACUGCAACUGACACUGAGGCUCGAAAGUGUGGGUAUCAAACAGGAUUAGAUACCCCUGUAGUC
RNAcentral lists this ribosomal RNA (460 nucleotides) under uncultured bacterium. RNAcentral's name for it is "partial 16S ribosomal RNA". It matches the Rfam family "Bacterial small subunit ribosomal RNA", at positions 338 to 795 of the family's 1533-position model. The record is from RNAcentral.